Long non-coding RNA from Acanthopagrus latus (yellowfin seabream), 417 nucleotides. RefSeq lists it as uncharacterized. Lineage: Eukaryota; Metazoa; Chordata; Actinopteri; Spariformes; Sparidae. The transcript is spliced from 2 exons. The record is from RefSeq and is a predicted model, not a curated record.
CUCACUCCUUGCCCGGUCAUUGUUUUCUGUUUCCUGAUCCACGCUCCUGUCCCGUUUGUAGUCUGAGGAGGACCCGAGCCAUUGACAGUAUCUGAGCAAGUCAAGCCGUGCUUGGCCUGAUCCCUCAGGGUGACGUAGCGACCGCAGUCCCUGCAGAGCUCGGUGCGACUCCCGCACACCAGCUGGUGUUCGUCUAGCUGCUUCCACGGCAGCUCCAGCUCGCAGAAGUGACAGCACUCUCGACGCUCCACGCACUCAUCGGACUGGGAGACAAAAGCAGACUCAGAAUGUUAAAAAGGUGUCCCGGUGCAGUAAACUGUGUUUAACUAUGACAACAAUUCAGCCAGCUUGGGCUGCUCCUCUGGAGGCUUUUACACCUCAACAAAAAAAUAAACAUUAUCAAGAAAAUGAGGUUUU